This 74-nucleotide transfer RNA is filed under the name Betaproteobacteria bacterium. RNAcentral describes it as "tRNA-Cys". It matches the Rfam family "tRNA". From Rfam's summary of the family: Transfer RNA (tRNA) molecules are approximately 80 nucleotides in length. Their secondary structure includes four short double-helical elements and three loops (D, anti-codon, and T loops). Lineage: Bacteria; Pseudomonadati; Pseudomonadota; Betaproteobacteria. The record is from RNAcentral.
GGCGGGAUGGCAGAGUGGUCAUGCAGCGGCCUGCAAAGCCGUGGACGCCGGUUCGAUUCCGACUCCCGCCUUCA